AUUCUAUAAUGCCUAAUAUUAUUUUACAAAGUAAAAGCAGACUUUUCAUGAAUCUUUUGUUAAAAUUGGGAAAACAGUGACCCUAAAAAGAAUCUCAAGCAACAUCCAGAUCCAGUACCUGCAUGAAAAAGGACCAGUUUAUGGGAUGUUUGUCUUUUUAUUCAACGCGGACACAUUUUGAUUCGGAAUUGUUUUGAAUUUUGAGGUUUGACGACUUCACACAGCUGCUUUUUCUCCAAAUAAAAAGAGACAAAAAAAAAGUGCAAUUAUCACUUUCUCCCUGCCUUUUGCAGAUGUCUGGGAAGAUGUGUGUGCCACCAUUAUUUGUUUAUGUUGGGAAGAAGGCUCCUUUCUCUCUCUCUCUCUCUCUCUCUCUUGCAUGUCUUCCCUUGAGUUAAAGAAUGAGGCCGACAGCUGCCAACUGUGCCCCCCAGAGCUGCCCGGCUGAUGCAGCGCGGCCUCGACCCGCUCCUCUCCUCUGCAGCUCGGCUACACCUGAAGCAGCACUGUGAAGAAGAACCAGUGCAGGAAUGCUUUCAGGUGGACUCGCCUACCGCAGAAGGGCCUGGGUCAGCAUCCCAGAGGCUGGAGAGCCUGGACCUCAGAGGACCUUCUGACAUGUGUUGGAACAAGAAUGAAAAGUAUUCUGGUUGAGUGGGGGCACUGGGCUGAAACAGGAAGUGGGUUUGCAUUCUAACUGGGACAGAGAGCCGUCAGCUUGACCAAAAUAAGAAGAGUAAACAGCAAUGGGUCCACAGGGAACUCUGCUGCUGCUGCUGCUGCUGCU
Molecule: long non-coding RNA, 787 nt
Organism: Solea senegalensis (Senegalese sole)
Lineage: Eukaryota; Metazoa; Chordata; Actinopteri; Pleuronectiformes; Soleidae
Exons: 3
Source: RefSeq, a predicted model, not a curated record